AUUGCCAUCAUUUAGUUGGGUACUCUAAAGGAACCGCCGGUGAUAAGCCGGAGGAAGGUGGGGAUGACGUCAAUUCCUCAUGGCCCUUACGCGUUGGGCUACACACGUGCUACAAUGGCGACUACAGUGGGCAGCCACCUCGCGAGAGGGAGCUAAUCUCCAAAAGUCGUCUCAGUUCGGAUCGUUCUCUGCAACUCGAGAGCGUGAAGGCGGAAUCGCUAGUAAUCGCGGAUCAGCAUGCCGCGGUGAAUACGUUCCCAGGCCUUGUACACACCGCCCGUCACACCAUGGGAGUUGGAUUCACUCGAAGGCGUUGAGCUAACCGCAAGGAGGCAGGCGACCACAGUGGGUUUAGCGACUGGGGUGAA
Molecule: ribosomal RNA, 368 nt
Filed under: alpha proteobacterium K-2064
Lineage: Bacteria; Pseudomonadati; Pseudomonadota; Alphaproteobacteria
Description: bacterial SSU rRNA
Rfam family: Bacterial small subunit ribosomal RNA
Source: RNAcentral